GAACGCACCUUGCACCCUUUGGUAUUCCGAAGGGUAUGCUCGUUUGAGUGUCAUUGUACUCUCACACUCUCUGAUCUUUUUGGAUUCAGGGAGCGGUGGACUUGGGUGUUUGCUGCUUACCUGCAGCUCACCUCAAAUGCGUCAGUGCAUCUCUUGGUUGGACAUAGUACGGCGUGAUAAGUAUCUUCGCCGGCACCUCGCAAGAGGGUGGCCGAUUGGGAGCUCUGUGCUUUCAAACCGUCUUCGGACAAUUUCUGACAACUUGACCUCAAAUCGAGUAGGACUACCCGCUGAACUUAAG
Molecule: unclassified non-coding RNA, 301 nt
Filed under: uncultured Sebacina
Lineage: Eukaryota; Fungi; Basidiomycota; Agaricomycetes; Sebacinales; Sebacinaceae
Description: sequence contains 5.8S rRNA gene
Source: RNAcentral